RNAcentral lists this ribosomal RNA (446 nucleotides) under uncultured bacterium. RNAcentral's name for it is "partial 16S ribosomal RNA". It matches the Rfam family "Bacterial small subunit ribosomal RNA", at positions 329 to 792 of the family's 1533-position model. The record is from RNAcentral.
GUCCAGACUCCUACGGGAGGCAGCAGUGGGGGAUAUUGCACAAUGGGCGCAAGCCUGAUGCAGCGACGCCGCGUGAGCGAAGAAGUAUUUCGGUAUGUAAAGCUCUAUCAGCAGGGAAGAAAAUGACGGUACCUGACUAAGAAGCCCCGGCUAACUACGUGCCAGCAGCCGCGGUAAUACGUAGGGGGCAAGCGUUAUCCGGAUUUACUGGGUGUAAAGGGAGCGUAGACGGCAAUGCAAGCCAGAUGUGAAAGCCCGGGGCUCAACCCCGGGACUGCAUUUGGAACUGUGUAGCUGGAGUGUCGGAGAGGCAGGCGGAACUCCUAGUGUAGCGGUGAAAUGCGUAGAUAUUAGGAGGAACACCAGUGGCGAAGGCGGCCUGCUGGACGAUGACUGACGUUGAGGCUCGAAAGCGUGGGGAGCAAACAGGAUUAGAUACCCGCGUA